AAUUUUCACAAAUUUAUUUCAGAGUCUUCGACACAUUACCGAAGUUUAUCAAACGUUAAACCCAACUAGCUCCAUUAACCAUCUCACGGUCUUUACAGAACGUUAACGUCAUGUUACGUUAACGUCAACUGUCAACUAUCGUAACUUUAGCCGAGACAGCUAACCAAGUUAACCGACCACUCUAACAUGUUAGCUAGCUUUGUGUUGAAUAAGGAGAAACUCUGUCAUUAGAUUUUUUUUUUCCUGAAGCUAGACUUAAAACUUUUCUACAUGCAAACCAGGCAGCUGCGAGUUGACAACGGUGGGUGAGAGGUUGACCGUCUUCUGCUCUGCUUGCUGUGUGACUAAAGCGUCUCUGAGGUCUCAGGGUGUUGCUGCUGGAGCCAAUCCCAGCCUUGUCCCAGGGCAGGGUA
This is a long non-coding RNA of Acanthopagrus latus (yellowfin seabream), 413 nucleotides long. RefSeq lists it as uncharacterized. NCBI's taxonomy places the organism in Eukaryota, Metazoa, Chordata, Actinopteri, Spariformes, Sparidae. The record is from RefSeq and is a predicted model, not a curated record. The transcript has 3 exons.